This 497-nucleotide long non-coding RNA is filed under the name Heterocephalus glaber (naked mole-rat). RNAcentral's name for it is "lncRNA (ENSHGLG00100039903.1)". Lineage: Eukaryota; Metazoa; Chordata; Mammalia; Rodentia; Bathyergidae. The record is from RNAcentral.
UCCAUCCCUCUUUAGAAUAAGAAGAGCCUUUAGUUGGGCACAGCUGGAGUGAGUGGUGAGUAGGGGGAGGUUCCUGCCCCAGGCCGCUUUGUUCUACAGAUCUUCACAGAAAGCUCUGGGCUGACUGAGACCUGGGGCCAGAGAGAGAUGUGAGAAAGGUGAGCUUCUGAGGAGCCUGGGGAUGCAGGCACCAAGGCUAUUGUCUUUCUCCAGAGGAUCCCCAGAGGGGCCUUAAAUGCGAAGACUUGGAGCUCCUGGCCUCCCAAGGCUCAGAGACACAAGCUCUGAGAGAGCCUGCUGAGGAUUGUUGUGCCCAGAUUGUGAAGUCCCAAAGACCACCAGGAGGCCAUUUCCGAUGGAUCAAACUCGGGACCUUGCACUUGCAAGGCAGGUGGCGGCACCACUGAACUAAAUCCCUGGCCUCUGAAUUGUACAUUUUAAAUGAACUAAUAUGGCAGGUGAAUUAUAUAUUCUGCCUAAUAUCUCAAUAAAGCUGC